RNAcentral lists this ribosomal RNA (253 nucleotides) under uncultured bacterium. Its description in RNAcentral is "partial 16S ribosomal RNA". It matches the Rfam family "Bacterial small subunit ribosomal RNA", at positions 524 to 776 of the family's 1533-position model. The record is from RNAcentral.
GACGAACCGUGCGAACGUUGUUCGGAAUCACUGGGCUUAAAGGGCGCGUAGGCGGCUUGCAAAGUCAGGGGUGAAAGCCUCCAGCUUAACUGGAGAAGUGCCUUUGAUACUGGCGAGCUCGAGGGAGGUAGGGGCAGGUGGAACUUCCGGUGGAGCGGUGAAAUGCGUUGAUAUCGGAAGGAACGCCGGUGGCGAAAGCGACCUGCUGGACCUCUUCUGACGCUGAGGCGCGAAAGCUAGGGUAGCGAACGGG